RNAcentral lists this ribosomal RNA (330 nucleotides) under Gonolabis marginalis. RNAcentral describes it as "partial 16S ribosomal RNA". Lineage: Eukaryota; Metazoa; Arthropoda; Insecta; Dermaptera; Anisolabididae. The record is from RNAcentral.
GGUAUCUUAUUUAUCUUUUUAAAAAAAGGUUAUAAAUUCAUUUAUCUUUGGUAAAUUUUAGAAACAUUCUUGUUUCUUAUUGCCCCAAUAAAACAACUUUAUUAAAUUGUAAAGAUCUAUAGGGUCUUAUCGUCUUUAAACUAUAUUAAUGCAUUCUUACAUUAAGUUAAAAUUUUAAAAUUUAUAAAGAUACAGCUUAUCCUUCAUUCAAUCGUUCAUACAAGUCUCCAAUUAAAAGACUAUUGAUUAUGCUACCUUUGCACGGUCAAAUUACCGCGGCCCUUAAAAAUUCAGGGGGCAGAUUAUAUUUUUAAUCGAUUUCUAAAAAAA